GAGCAGCUCCGGCGCCUAGUCGCCGGUGCCACCGGCGGCGCGCAUUUCUUAAGAUAUAGCAAAGCGCGCAACCCGCGUGCUCAAAUCGGCGCUCUGCUAGCUCAAAGUACGUUCGGAAUGAGACGCAGAGCGUUGUUGCGCAGACACGCUUGAAUAAUAUGGGCGUAGAACACGAAAGGUCCCGGAGGAGCGCGCAAUAUCAGCGCCGCUCAAGGCAACCCACAACGAGUGCCAAGUUCUGGCAAUAACCUGCUCCAGUUUUGCCGGCUGUUCGCGCAAGACUGGAUCCCUCAAACUUGGUUGCCAUCACCAGCAGACACAGGCAGGCAGUGGAUGAGACAAUUUGCAAACUCCAAACAAUGGCACCCCAUGUUGUCUGUUGCUAUUUUUCAUUUGAGGAGGGCAUUGCGAUAGCCAUCCUACAUUGCACAUUGUUAAAAUUUGAUUACAAGCGCUCAGAAAGCAUUGAGUUCUAAAAUUGAAUCGAAUAUCAGAUAUUUUCAUAUCCUAAUAGUAUAUAUACGAUAGAUUGGUAUGAUGGAAGCUUAACAUUACCAACAAAGCUUUAGUGAACACCACCAAUAUAUGUCGCACUGUCCACAGAACAGCUGUAACGACACUAAAGGAAAAGGUGAUAACAUGAAAAAGGGAAAGUGAUCAUGUUUUCUGCAACAUUUACACAACAAAAGAAAUGAACUGAGGAUGAUGCUAGAUUCUUAGAGAGAGAAAGCGGUUCACUAGGUAUAAAAGUGUACGGUCAAUAUCAGACACAGGCAAAGGUAGUUAUAAUACUAUAGAACACAGCGAAACACUUUAGUGAUGCAGGCAUAGCUACUUCCAUGAAAACAAAACUUGUUUCGUUAACUCAAGAUAUCAAAC
Molecule: long non-coding RNA, 879 nt
Organism: Dermacentor andersoni
Lineage: Eukaryota; Metazoa; Arthropoda; Arachnida; Ixodida; Ixodidae
Source: RefSeq, a predicted model, not a curated record